Molecule: long non-coding RNA, 950 nt
Organism: Globicephala melas (long-finned pilot whale)
Lineage: Eukaryota; Metazoa; Chordata; Mammalia; Artiodactyla; Delphinidae
Source: RefSeq, a predicted model, not a curated record
GAGGGUCACGUUUGCUCUUCCCGGGGGCCACUUCAGGACACAGUGGUGGUGGUCUCUUUAGUGUUUUAACAGAAGUUCUAACCAUUACUGCAACAUGGAAAUGUUCUCAGUAAAACUCUCUGUCUUCUUGUGACUCGUAGCAGUGCCUGAAGGAAGAAAGUCCAUUCUCCAUUUCAGAAGAUAUCAGAUCUGCACAGACCGCCAAGCCUGUGAGGACGCGUAACAGUGCAAAGCUUUGCAAGAAACAAGGCCAGGUGACGUCUUCAGGUUCCGAGGCUACAAGGCCCUGGGGACGAGAGGAAGAUGGCCCUUGGUGAUCUCCAGGUGUCCUCUGAGGAUGGGGCACUGCAGGCUGUGCCCAGCGGCCAGGAUGGUGGGAAGGCUGUGUGGCCCAGCACCCUGGGAGAGGGAGACAAGGAGCAAGUGGACACAAGCCAGGGAAAGGAUGGGGUGAAAGUGAAAAGCAAACAGAAAAAAGAAAAGGAGCACAUAUCGGAAGAGCAAAGGCGGGAAGGGCUUAAGGAGAAAGGUGCUGGGAGGCAGACCAAGGCUUCGAAGCUGGAGGAGGGCAGCGGGGACUGGAGGGGUGCAUGUGGCCACAGCAGGAGGGCGCCUGCGGAGAGGGGGCGCGGGCCCAGCGGGGAGGCGGUGCAUGGAGGCGAUGGGGACGCGGGAGCCGAGAGCCGCAGGGAAGACGCGCAGGCGGAGGCGGGGGGGAACGUCCAGGACGGGGCAGCUAGCCUACACCGAAAAGGUGGGAGAGUUGGUGGGGAGGAAGCAGCUACGAGGGAAUGUCGAGGAGGGGAAAGACAUGUGGGCUGGAGAAACUAAGAAAGAAGAAAAAAAUGUGGUGCUGGUAACGAGUCCGCAUCAGAGACUGUGGUUUCCAGAAAAGUCAAAAAAAGGAAGAAGGACAACGUGGGCGGAGCAGGGGCUCCGGAAGCAAAGGA